AACGCUAGCUACAGGCUUAACACAUGCAAGUCGAGGGGCAGCGGGGGAGUAAGCUUGCUUAUUCCUGCCGGCGACCGGCGCACGGGUGAGUAACACGUAUGCAACCUGCCCUUGGCAGGGGGAUAACCCGGAGAAAUCCGGACUAAUACCGCGUAACACCCUUGGGGGACAUCCCCCGGGGGUCAAAGGAAGCAAUUCCGGCCAAGGAUGGGCAUGCGUCGCAUCAGGCAGUUGGCGGUGUAACGGACCACCAAACCGACGAUGCGUAGGGGUUCUGAGAGGAAGGCCCCCCACACUGGUACUGAGACACGGACCAGACUCCUACGGGAGGCAGCAGUGAGGAAUAUUGGUCAAUGGGCGCAAGCCUGAACCAGCCAAGUCGCGUGAGGGAAGACGGUCCUAUGGAUUGUAAACCUCUUUUGUCAGGGAGCAAGUCGGCCACGCGUGGUGCGAUUGAGAGUACCUGAAGAAAAAGCAUCGGCUAACUCCGUGCCAGCAGCCGCGGUAAUACGGAGGAUGCGAGCGUUAUCCGGAUUUAUUGGGUUUAAAGGGUGCGUAGGCGGACUGUUAAGUCAGUGGUAAAAUCGAGAGGCUCAACCUCUUCCGGCCAUUGAAACUGGCAGACUUGAGUGAGCGAAAAGUAUGCGGAAUGCGUGGUGUAGCGGUGAAAUGCAUAGAUAUCACGAAGAACUCCGAUUG
This 699-nucleotide ribosomal RNA is filed under the name uncultured bacterium. Its description in RNAcentral is "bacterial SSU rRNA". It matches the Rfam family "Bacterial small subunit ribosomal RNA", at positions 32 to 715 of the family's 1533-position model. The record is from RNAcentral.